GCUUGCUUUGAUGCUGGCGACCGGCGAAUGGGUGAGUCACGGCGUGUCAACCUGGCCCUGUGCCCGGGGAUAGCCUGGAAAUGAGGAUUAACACCCGAUAGGUGGCGCUUCCGCAUGGCGGCGCCAUGAAACCGACACAGGAUGGGGACGCGUCGGAUUAGCUUGACGGCGGGGCGACGGCCCACCGUGGCGACGAUCCGCAGGGGUUCUGAGAGGAAGGUCCCCCACACUGGCACUGAGACACGGGCCAGACUCCUACGGGAGGCAGCAGUGAGGAAUAUUGGUCAAUGGGCCGAGAGGCUGAACCAGCCAAGUAGCCGUGCAGGACGACGGCCCUACGGGUUGUAAACUGCUUUUGCGGGAGGAUAAAGGACGCCACGUGUGGCGUUUUGCAGGUAUCCCGUGAAUAAGGACCGGCUAAUUCCGUGCCAGCAGCGGC
This 439-nucleotide ribosomal RNA is filed under the name uncultured bacterium. RNAcentral describes it as "bacterial SSU rRNA". It matches the Rfam family "Bacterial small subunit ribosomal RNA", at positions 69 to 518 of the family's 1533-position model. The record is from RNAcentral.